Nannospalax galili (Upper Galilee mountains blind mole rat) is the source of this 908-nucleotide long non-coding RNA. RefSeq lists it as uncharacterized. The record is from RefSeq and is a predicted model, not a curated record. The transcript is spliced from 3 exons. NCBI's taxonomy places the organism in Eukaryota, Metazoa, Chordata, Mammalia, Rodentia, Spalacidae.
GUCGCCAUCCAGUCCCCUGCAGCGCCAGCCUCCUGUGACGUCAACAGCUGAGGUCGGUUGUAGUCGGAGCGCUUGGCGCGUGGGGCGGUGCGGAUGCCCAGUUAAUAUUUCAGCACAUGGAUUGUUGGGUCUGGCAGAGUUUGCCGCUGUAUUUCUCCUCAAGGUAGAACCAAAUGGUUUACUUGAAGGGCCUAUUUGAUAGAAAUAUACAGCACUGGCAAUCUUGCUGAAGAAACCACCAGAGACAAUGAACGAACAAGUUGAAAACAACUGAUGAGAAAUACAAUUUGAAGGUGCUAUUUUACUCAAAUGAAGUUGAUGAAUAAGAGUGAAACAGUAGACAGGUCUCUUAAAGCUGAGAAUCCCAACAGCACCCAGGAUGAAGCAGUGAAGAAUGUUCAGUUGUCCAUCAACCAUCCAUCCAUCUAACAUGUGCUUUUGAACACAGAUGAGCUAUGAGGCACGAUGUUUGGUUGGAGGAGUUGCCGAACCCAGGUCUCAGGGAGCACGACAUUAUCAUCUCAUAGGUAGGUAAAACAUUUUACAAAUUGAACUGUUCAACACAGAGGUUGGCGAGUGCCACUGGAGGUGUGCGAGCCCAGUGCUAUAGCACCCAAGGAGGAAAUUCUGCUUUUUUUAGUUGGGAGAUGACAGGAGAGCUACCAUGAAGAAAGGGGAAAAUUCCCCAGGAAGAGUGCAGAAAGAUGUAUACAGGAAAACACACAAAAGUGUAAAGAAGCUGGAAAUGCUUGCAGAAUCUAGUUCUAAAGCAUUUGCCCUCAGAAAGUCGUGGGCUGAGGGCUACGGAAAGAAACAACCCCAAGACUUUCUAGGUCUGAGAUCCAGGAAAGAGACUGGGUAUCAGUCACAGAGGGGAAGAUUGAACUUUUUAGGAACAUUAUUGUGAA